GGUUAAGCGACUAAGCGUACACGGUGGAUGCCCUGGCAGUCAGAGGCGAUGAAGGACGUGCUAAUCUGCGAUAAGCGUCGGUAAGGUGAUAUGAACCGUUAUAACCGGCGAUUUCCGAAUGGGGAAACCCAGUGUGAUUCGUCACACUAUCAUUAACUGAAUCCAUAGGUUAAUGAGGCGAACCGGGGGAACUGAAACAUCUAAGUACCCCGAGGAAAAGAAAUCAACCGAGAUUCCCCAAGUAGCGGCGAGCGAACGGGGAGCAGCCCAGAGCCUGAAUCAGUGUGUGUGUUAGUGGAAGCGUCUGGAAAGGCGCGCGAUACAGGGUGACAGCCCCGUACACAAAAAUGCACAUACUGUGAGCUCGAUGAGUAGGGCGGGACACGUGGUAUCCUGUCUGAAUAUGGGGGGACCAUCCUCCAAGGCUAAAUACUCCUGACUGACCGAUAGUGAACCAGUACCGUGAGGGAAAGGCGAAAAGAACCCCGGCGAGGGGAGUGAAAAAGAACCUGAAACCGUGUACGUACAAGCAGUGGGAGCACGCUUAGGCGUGUGACUGCGUACCUUUUGUAUAAUGGGUCAGCGACUUAUAUUCUGUAGCAAGGUUAACCGAAUAGGGGAGCCGAAGGGAAACCGAGUCUUAACUGGGCGUUAAGUUGCAGGGUAUAGACCCGAAACCCGGUGAUCUAGCCAUGGGCAGGUUGAAGGUUGGGUAACACUAACUGGAGGACCGAACCGACUAAUGUUGAAAAAUUAGCGGAUGACUUGUGGCUGGGGGUGAAAGGCCAAUCAAACCGGGAGAUAGCUGGUUCUCCCCGAAAGCUAUUUAGGUAGCGCCUCGUGAAUUCAUCUCCGGGGGUAGAGCACUGUUUCGGCAAGGGGGUCAUCCCGACUUACCAACCCGAUGCAAACUGCGAAUACCGGAGAAUGUUAUCACGGGAGACACACGGCGGGUGCUAACGUCCGUCGUGAAGAGGGAAACAACCCAGACCGCCAGCUAAGGUCCCAAAGUCAUGGUUAAGUGGGAAACGAUGUGGGAAGGCCCAGACAGCCAGGAUGUUGGCUUAGAAGCAGCCAUCAUUUAAAGAAAGCGUAAUAGCUCACUGGUCGAGUCGGCCUGCGCGGAAGAUGUAACGGGGCUAAACCAUGCACCGAAGCUGCGGCAGCGACGCUUAUGCGUUGUUGGGUAGGGGAGCGUUCUGUAAGCCUGUGAAGGUGUGCUGUGAGGCAUGCUGGAGGUAUCAGAAGUGCGAAUGCUGACAUAAGUAACGAUAAAGCGGGUGAAAAGCCCGCUCGCCGGAAGACCAAGGGUUCCUGUCCAACGUUAAUCGGGGCAGGGUGAGUCGACCCCUAAGGCGAGGCCGAAAGGCGUAGUCGAUGGGAAACAGGUUAAUAUUCCUGUACUUGGUGUUACUGCGAAGGGGGACGGAGAAGGCUAUGUUGGCCGGGCGACGGUUGUCCCGGUUUAAGCGUGUAGGCUGGUUUUCCAGGCAAAUCCGGAAAAUCAAGGCUGAGGCGUGAUGACGAGGCACUACGGUGCUGAAGCAACAAAUGCCCUGCUUCCAGGAAAAGCCUCUAAGCAUCAGGUAACAUCAAAUCGUACCCCAAACCGACACAGGUGGUCAGGUAGAGAAUACCAAGGCGCUUGAGAGAACUCGGGUGAAGGAACUAGGCAAAAUGGUGCCGUAACUUCGGGAGAAGGCACGCUGAUAUGUAGGUGAAGUCCCUCGCGGAUGGAGCUGAAAUCAGUCGAAGAUACCAGCUGGCUGCAACUGUUUAUUAAAAACACAGCACUGUGCAAACACGAAAGUGGACGUAUACGGUGUGACGCCUGCCCGGUGCCGGAAGGUUAAUUGAUGGGGUCAGCGCAAGCGAAGCUCUUGAUCGAAGCCCCGGUAAACGGCGGCCGUAACUAUAACGGUCCUAAGGUAGCGAAAUUCCUUGUCGGGUAAGUUCCGACCUGCACGAAUGGCGUAAUGAUGGCCAGGCUGUCUCCACCCGAGACUCAGUGAAAUUGAACUCGCUGUGAAGAUGCAGUGUACCCGCGGCAAGACGGAAAGACCCCGUGAACCUUUACUAUAGCUUGACACUGAACAUUGAGCCUUGAUGUGUAGGAUAGGUGGGAGGCUUAGAAGUGUGGACGCCAGUCUGCAUGGAGCCGACCUUGAAAUACCACCCUUUAAUGUUUGAUGUUCUAACGUUGACCCGUAAUCCGGGUUGCGGACAGUGUCUGGUGGGUAGUUUGACUGGGGCGGUCUCCUCCUAAAGAGUAACGGAGGAGCACGAAGGUUGGCUAAUCCUGGUCGGACAUCAGGAGGUUAGUGCAAUGGCAUAAGCCAGCUUGACUGCGAGCGUGACGGCGCGAGCAGGUGCGAAAGCAGGUCAUAGUGAUCCGGUGGUUCUGAAUGGAAGGGCCAUCGCUCAACGGAUAAAAGGUACUCCGGGGAUAACAGGCUGAUACCGCCCAAGAGUUCAUAUCGACGGCGGUGUUUGGCACCUCGAUGUCGGCUCAUCACAUCCUGGGGCUGAAGUAGGUCCCAAGGGUAUGGCUGUUCGCCAUUUAAAGUGGUACGCGAGCUGGGUUUAGAACGUCGUGAGACAGUUCGGUCCCUAUCUGCCGUGGGCGCUGGAGAACUGAGGGGGGCUGCUCCUAGUACGAGAGGACCGGAGUGGACGCAUCACUGGUGUUCGGGUUGUCAUGCCAAUGGCACUGCCCGGUAGCUAAAUGCGGAAGAGAUAAGUGCUGAAAGCAUCUAAGCACGAAACUUGCCCCGAGAUGAGUUCUCCCUGACCCUUUAAGGGUCCUGAAGGAACGUUGAAGACGACGACGUUGAUAGGCCGGGUGUGUAAGCGCAGCGAUGCGUUGAGCUAACCGGUACUAAUGAACCGUGAGGCUUAACCUU
RNAcentral lists this ribosomal RNA (2903 nucleotides) under Escherichia coli. Its description in RNAcentral is "23S ribosomal RNA". It matches the Rfam family "Bacterial large subunit ribosomal RNA". The record is from RNAcentral. Lineage: Bacteria; Pseudomonadati; Pseudomonadota; Gammaproteobacteria; Enterobacterales; Enterobacteriaceae.